UACAGGGGGGGCAAGCGUUGCUCGGAAUCACUGGGCGUAAAGCGCACGUAGGCGGCUUUCUAAGUCAGGGGUGAAAUCCUGGAGCUCAACUCCAGAACUGCCUUUGAUACUGGAGAGCUUGAGUCCGGGAGAGGUGAGUGGAACUCCGAGUGUAGAGGUGAAAUUCGUAGAUAUUCGGAAGAACACCAGUGGCGAAGGCGGCUCUCUGGUACGUGACUGACGCUGAGACGCGAAAGCGUGGGGAGCAAACAGG
RNAcentral lists this ribosomal RNA (253 nucleotides) under uncultured bacterium. Its description in RNAcentral is "partial 16S ribosomal RNA". It matches the Rfam family "Bacterial small subunit ribosomal RNA", at positions 524 to 776 of the family's 1533-position model. The record is from RNAcentral.